RNAcentral lists this non-coding RNA (176 nucleotides) under uncultured Butyricicoccus sp. RNAcentral's name for it is "Lysine riboswitch". It matches the Rfam family "Lysine riboswitch aptamer". From Rfam's summary of the family: Riboswitches are metabolite binding domains within certain messenger RNAs that serve as precision sensors for their corresponding targets. Allosteric rearrangement of mRNA structure is mediated by ligand binding, and this results in modulation of gene expression. Lineage: Bacteria; Bacillati; Bacillota; Clostridia; Eubacteriales; Butyricicoccaceae. The record is from RNAcentral.
CAGAUAGAGGCGCGGUGUUCAUCAGUAUCGUCUGUCAGGGGCCGCAACCCCGUUGACCAUUCGAAAAAGGGGACUCCGCCGAAGGCGCGGCCCAUUGCGGGAUGCCCUGCCUGGACGGUUUGGAGAACAUCCCAUCGUCUGUCAUCAGCAUGUCUCAUGCCGGUGGAGCGCUAUCA